Long non-coding RNA from Bos taurus (domestic cattle), 523 nucleotides. Lineage: Eukaryota; Metazoa; Chordata; Mammalia; Artiodactyla; Bovidae. The record is from Ensembl.
CCUGAAUGAACUUUACAUUAUAAGUAGGAAUCUUCAAGAGAUCAUGAGGAAAGAAAUCUUAUGCAGAAGAUAUAGAAUGUGCUGACUCCUAUGCGGAAGAUAUAGAAUAUAAAGGCUCCGUGACCAGUUGAAAGGAAAAGGAAAAACCUGAAAUGAAACCCAGGUUUCUGGCUUGGAGAACUGAGUGAUUGACAGUGACCUUAACUGCAAUUGCCAAUAGAAGAGUUUUGAGCAUGCUGAAUAAGAAACGUCAUUGACCACUGGAAACAUAAGGGGAUCUUCCUGACCCAGAGAUCAAACUUGCGUGCCCUCCGUCUCCUGCCUUGCCAGUCGUAUUCUUACCACUGCACUGCACCACCGGGAAGUUUGGGGAAGUCACUGAAUCUUGCCAGCCUCAGUUUCCUCAUCUGCAAAUGGUGAUUAUGAUAUUCUGUAGUUGUAGGACUGCUGAGAGGAUGGCAUAUGCGGAACCCCCAUAGUCAUCGCUGUCAUAAAAGUGAUGCACAGGAAAUAUUAAAUCUUU